GUGAGGAAUUUUCCGCAAUGGGCGAAAGCCUGACGGAGCAAUGCCGCGUGAAGGAUGAAGGCCUAUGGGUUGUAAACUUCUUUUCUCAGAAAAGAAUUAUGACGGUAUCUGAGGAAUAAGCAUCGGCUAACUCUGUGCCAGCAGCCGCGGUAAGACAGAGGAUGCAAGCGUUAUCCGGAAUGAUUGGGCGUAAAGCGUCUGUAGGUUGUUUAAAAAGUAUUCUGUCAAAGAUUAGGGCUUAACCCUAGAUAGGCAGAAUAAACUUUUAAGCUAGAGUUUGGUAGAGGCAGAGGGAAUUCCCGGUGGAGCGGUGGAAUGCGUAGAUAUCGGGAGGAACACCAAAGGCGAAGGCACUCUGCUGGGCCAAUACUAACACUGAGAGACGAAAGCGAGGGGAGCAAAUGGGAUUAGAUACCCUUGUAGUCC
This 426-nucleotide ribosomal RNA is filed under the name uncultured bacterium. Its description in RNAcentral is "partial 16S ribosomal RNA". It matches the Rfam family "Bacterial small subunit ribosomal RNA", at positions 354 to 796 of the family's 1533-position model. The record is from RNAcentral.